Molecule: transfer RNA, 92 nt
Filed under: Felis catus (domestic cat)
Lineage: Eukaryota; Metazoa; Chordata; Mammalia; Carnivora; Felidae
Rfam family: tRNA
About the family: Transfer RNA (tRNA) molecules are approximately 80 nucleotides in length.
Source: Rfam by way of RNAcentral
GCCUGGGUGGUUCAGUUGGUUAAGCAUCUGACUCUUGGUUUUGGCUCAGGUUGUGACCUCACGGUUUGUGGGUUCGAGCCCCACCUUGGGCU